AUUGAACGCUGGCGGCAUGCUUUACACAUGCCAGUCGAACGGUAACAGGCCUUCGGGUGCUGACGAGUGGCGAACGGGUGAGUAAUGCAUCGGAACGUACCCAGAGGUGGGGGAUAUCGCAGCGAAAGCUGUGCUAAUACCGCAUGUGAUCUGAGGAUGAAAGCGGGGGACCGAGCAGCAAUGUUUGGCCUCGCGCCUUUGGAGCGGCCGAUGUCGGAUUAGCUAGUUGGUGGGGUAAAGGCCUACCAAGGCGACGAUCCGUAGCUGGUCUGAGAGGACGACCAGCCACACUGGGACUGAGACACGGCCCAGACUCCUACGGGAGGCAGCAGUGGGGAAUUUUGGACAAUGGGCGCAAGCCUGAUCCAGCAAUGCCGCGUGCGGGAAGAAGGCCUUCGGGUUGUAAACCGCUUUUGGCAGGAACGAAACGGUGUCCGCUAAUACCGGGCGCUAAUGACGGUACCUGCAGAAUAAGCACCGGCUAACUACGUG
RNAcentral lists this ribosomal RNA (492 nucleotides) under uncultured bacterium. RNAcentral's name for it is "partial 16S ribosomal RNA". It matches the Rfam family "Bacterial small subunit ribosomal RNA", at positions 30 to 507 of the family's 1533-position model. The record is from RNAcentral.